This 213-nucleotide ribosomal RNA is filed under the name Pseudochaetosphaeronema sp. RNAcentral describes it as "partial large subunit ribosomal RNA". Lineage: Eukaryota; Fungi; Ascomycota; Dothideomycetes; Pleosporales. The record is from RNAcentral.
AAGCGCUUGCAGCCAGACUUGCCCGCAGUUGCUCAUCCGGACUCUUGCCCGGAGCACUCUUCUGCGGACAGGCCAGCAUCAGUUCGGGUGGCUGGAUAAAGGCCUCUGUCAUGUAUCUCCCUUCGGGGUGACCUUAUAGGGGAGGUGUAAUGCAGUCAACCCGGACUGAGGUCCGCGCUUUUGCUAGGAUGCUGGCGUAAUGGCUGAAAGCGG